CUUGAAUAAAUAUGAGAGGUCCAGCCUGCCCAGUGACCAUGUUCAACGGCCGCGGUAUCCUAACCGUGCGAAGGUAGCGUAAUCACUUGUUCUUUAAAUAAGGACUGGUAUGAACGGCACCACGAAGGUUACACUGUCUCCUUUCUCUAAUCAGUGAAACUAAUCUCCCCGUGAAGAAGCGAGGAUAAGAACAUAAGACGAGAAGACCCUAUGGAGCUUUAAACUACAAGGCAAUUGCCCCCAUUCAACUAAAUUUCAGAAAAUUAACACUACCCAAGCAAUUUGACCCUUAGUUUUAGGUUGGGGUGACCGCGGAGCAAAAAAAAACCUCCACAUUGAAAGGAGCCCACUCCUUAGCCAAGAGCCACACCUCUACGCACCAGCAAAAAGACAUCAAUUGACCCAAUAUUUUGAUCAACGAAC
RNAcentral lists this ribosomal RNA (423 nucleotides) under Hyalinobatrachium sp. Xingu ABGD cluster 20. RNAcentral describes it as "partial large subunit ribosomal RNA". It matches the Rfam family "Bacterial large subunit ribosomal RNA", at positions 1834 to 2389 of the family's 2925-position model. The record is from RNAcentral. Lineage: Eukaryota; Metazoa; Chordata; Amphibia; Anura; Centrolenidae.